This 23-nucleotide non-coding RNA is filed under the name Cricetulus griseus (Chinese hamster). Lineage: Eukaryota; Metazoa; Chordata; Mammalia; Rodentia; Cricetidae. The record is from RNAcentral.
CUGAAAGGAAGGACUAUGGAGCG